CGGCGUGUAGCGCAGGCUGGUAGCGCACUACAAUGGGGUUGUAGGGGUCGGAGGUUCGAAUCCUCUCACGCCGACCA
This 77-nucleotide transfer RNA is filed under the name Magnetovirga frankeli. Its description in RNAcentral is "gamma proteobacterium SS-5 tRNA-Pro". It matches the Rfam family "tRNA". Rfam says of the family: Transfer RNA (tRNA) molecules are approximately 80 nucleotides in length. Their secondary structure includes four short double-helical elements and three loops (D, anti-codon, and T loops). Lineage: Bacteria; Pseudomonadati; Pseudomonadota; Gammaproteobacteria; Chromatiales; Sedimenticolaceae. The record is from RNAcentral. RNAcentral also lists the same sequence under 1 other name.